Molecule: ribosomal RNA, 497 nt
Filed under: uncultured bacterium
Lineage: Bacteria
Description: partial 16S ribosomal RNA
Rfam family: Bacterial small subunit ribosomal RNA
Source: RNAcentral
GAUGAACGCUGGCGGCGUGCCUAAUACAUGCAAGUCGAGCGAACAGACGAGGAGCUUGCUCCUCUGACGUUAGCGGCGGACGGGUGAGUAACACGUGGAUAACCUACCUAUAAGACUGGGAUAACUUCGGGAAGCCGGAGCUAAUACCGGAUAAUAUAUUGAACCGCAUGGUUCAAUAGUGAAAGACGGUUUUGCUGUCACUUAUAGAUGGAUCCGCGCCGCAUUAGCUAGUUGGUAAGGUAACGGCUUACCAAGGCGACGAUGCGUAGCCGACCUGAGAGGGUGAUCGGCCACACUGGAACUGAGACACGGUCCAGACUCCUACGGGAGGCAGCAGUAGGGAAUCUUCCGCAAUGGGCGAAAGCCUGACGGAGCAACGCCGCGUGAGUGAUAAAGGUCUUCGGAUCGUAAAACUCUGUUAUUAGGGAAGAACAAAUGUGUAAGUAACUAUGCACGUCUUGACGGUACCUAAUCAGAAAGCCACGGCUAACUACGUG